UCAGUUCUUCGAGCCAUUGUAUAACCAGCAGCAGGAAUUCAGUGUGGAGAUGACAGUUAAGUGUAGGGAACCAAAAUAUCACCAAAUACAGUACCAGAACUUGCUAAAUGCUGUGAAGGAUUCGAUUGUUCAGGGGUAAACUUGUUGGGCAGUAUGUUGCAGCUGAUGACGCUGGACCUCUGAUGUCAACAAUGCAGGUUGUAUUGCUUCUUGUGUUAUCUGGUGCAUUUCUUAGAGCCAAUCAAAUUUGUUUCUCCUGCGAUGCCACCCGAUACUGUGAGAACUGUGGUUGUUCUGUGUGGACAUGCAAUUGCUCAGAGUUCUUCAGCAAUCCUCGGCCAUAGUUAUUUGAGUGGGCUCGGUACGAGGAGGAUGACACUCAUUCAAAGAGAGGUGUUCUCCUGCUAUAUAGAGCAAGGUGGGCAACGGAUAGGAGAAUGAGUUUGUUGUCUAGUAAUGUUAUGUUUUAUGUUUUUGUUAUGUGUUGGAUAUGACGUUGGAUGCUACUUGGAGCAUAUAUAUGGUUGUUGGAACAUAUAUGUAUGUUAUGUCUUAUAUACAGGUCUUUGUAAAUUCCCGUUUU
Molecule: long non-coding RNA, 583 nt
Organism: Spinacia oleracea (spinach)
Lineage: Eukaryota; Viridiplantae; Streptophyta; Magnoliopsida; Caryophyllales; Amaranthaceae
Exons: 3
Source: RefSeq, a predicted model, not a curated record